UUGCCCACAGUUGGCGUAUUGACCCGAACAAGGAUUGCUGAUGGUACUGUCAAGACAUCGAGCUACCCUUUAGUUAGCGAGGAUCUGCAUGGACCAGAAUGCACACUGGGCACUGGGCAGCCGUUCGAUAGAUAACUAAAGGUGAUAUCACUUAGCUCCACAGGUGAUCUGCCAUCGCAAUGUUAUUCUCAUUAAAUAUAUAUUAUCCCAUCUUCAAAAUCUAAUAACCAGCCAAUUCAAUGACUUCUACAUAUAUUUAAUAGAGAAUAUGAUCUCAGAAGCCCCAGCCCCAAAAGCUGAUAUUGAAAAGUCCAAUAUUAAGACCAGGUCCCGCUGCCUAUCCAGGGGAGGUUCCCAGGACCCCGCGAGGACAGAGCUAUAUAAGGUUAUUACAAUAUGGUGUCAUCUCGGAAGGGAU
This 418-nucleotide small RNA is filed under the name Histoplasma capsulatum. Its description in RNAcentral is "hypothetical RNA". RNAcentral also lists the same sequence under 1 other name. Lineage: Eukaryota; Fungi; Ascomycota; Eurotiomycetes; Onygenales; Ajellomycetaceae. The record is from RNAcentral.